Molecule: long non-coding RNA, 3830 nt
Organism: Ailuropoda melanoleuca (giant panda)
Lineage: Eukaryota; Metazoa; Chordata; Mammalia; Carnivora; Ursidae
Exons: 3
Source: RefSeq, a predicted model, not a curated record
CUUUUGCUCAUUUGUUUUGUUUCUUAGGAAGUGGUAUAUAAAAACAAUGGAAUAUUACUCAGCCAUCGAAAAGAGUGAAAUCUUGCCAUUUGCAACGACUUGGUUGGAGUUAGAAGUUACCCAUGGUCAACCGCACUCCAAAAGCAGAUGACCCUCUUCCUGGUGAAUGGUCCGAAAGUCAAUAGCAGCCUAAAGCUAUGUCACUUCAUUUUAUCAUCUCACAUCUUCACAAGAAGGGUCUGUGGAUCCAUUAUUGAUUCUUCUUAUUUGGGACCCAAGAGCUGGAUUGGCUGUCCUAGGCAACACCCGCAGGUCUUCUCUGCUGGUGGAUAAGUAGGUCCUUCUCCUGAUAAAUCCACCUUUGGAAGAAGAUCUCCGUCAGUCUGGGGAGAGUGUGCCCACUGGCUGUAUGCGCUCAGGUAGGCAGAGAGUCUGUUCCAGGCUGUGAGUCCUUCCAAAUGCCAGAAUAAGAAAGACUUGGUUCUGAACUUGCCAACACCACCCUAUGAAUGUUGAUAUUACUCAUAGCUGACAUUUAGGCAGUGUUGUAAGUAUUGUAAACAUAAUAAUUAUUUAAUCCUCAACACAACCAUGUGCAGUAGUUAUACUAUCAUAUCCCCAUUUUACAGAAAAGGAAAGUAAGGCACACAUAGUUACAGAAUUGUUCAAGGUCACACAGCUAGUAAGAAACAGACCUGAGUUUUGAGUCCAGCCAGGCUGGCUCUGGGGCUUGUGCCCUUGACUAUUACAUAUUCUGCCUGAAGAAAAUCCAUUGAUAUUCUCAAAAGGAGAAAUCUUGGGUUUUAUGUAUUGAGGCCAUUCCAGCUUCCAGUGAGUCUCUCUCUUCCUAGAACCUCUUCUCAUUCGUGCCCCUUUUAGACCCUGCCAGCUUAAAGAUGCGCUUUCUGAGUGAUGCCAAGGACCAAGCUGCUCCUUGCUCCGCUCCACAAGUGCAGAGACUCCACUGGCCUAAUCCCCUAUUUGGCAUUAGCUCUCCACCUGCUAUCAUCAUGUUCCAUUCACCCCCACACUGCUCCACAGCUUGUCUGUCAUGACUCCUCCUUCACACUCUCAGCUUUUGUGCAUUUAUUCUCUUUUGUACAAUACUCUAAUUUUAUUAGCUUCUUAUUAAAGAAGAACCAUUCCACCGUGUUCAGUUCGCCAGAUUUUAUGAAACCAAAUUAAGCAUAAUUUUUGGCCCUUAUGUACAUAUUUAUCUGUUCAAAUGGUUUAAAACAACCUGUGCCAAUUACCACUAUGACAUUAUCAUUCUAAACUAGUAAUUAGUUUUGGUUAACCCAAGUUAGUCUAGUGAUAAAGAUGGGAAUGUAUUUUACUGUUUUCCAUACGCCUAGACUUACAUAUGUGCUUUGAUAUAUCUAAAAGCCUAGGCAUAAGAACACGUCUGAAGACAUUUGAAAUUUUAUUCUGAAAGGGUCUUAUCGUAAAAACGUAUUCAAUUUCCACUAGUUCCUUCCAUAAUUUUUGAAUACUGACUAUGGACGGAAGCACUGAGCAAGUCUUAAGGAUCUCAGACAGGAGAAAUUUGCUGCCUUUUAAAGCCCCAUAAUUUUUGUUGGAAAGCUUAAUUAUAGGUCUAUUCUCAGGUUUUAGAAGUAAGUUCUACUAAUAUAAUAAAAACUAAUAUUUUAAAGUUUAAACUUUCUUAUUAUUACUUAAAAAUGAACCAGUGAGGCUGGUUCUUAGAUACUUCAAGUCACUGAACAUUCUUUUUUCCUAUGAGAGAAGUAUCAGUAGAAUUUGAGCCAGAAACUUUACUGAAAGUCAAUGCCACCUCUUUGCAUUUAUCACUGCCAGUCUUGCUCUGCAUAUUUUUUUUCGUAUUUGCCAUGCAUUGUUAACAGUGAUUGUCAUGUAAUUAAAUCACUGCUCAUCACAAGAGCCUGUUUUUAUGCUGAGAUAAGCAUCAGAAGCCUGCUGCAGGACCCCCAGAUCAAUAAAGAUGUUCCCAGUAGGAUUACAAAGAGGCUGGGGUUGAGCAGGGCACCAGAAUUAAUUAGGAAUGAUUUCUCUUUUUCUUUCUACUUUCAAUAUACUUUUUAAUUGUUUUUCCAUUUUCAAUGGGCACUGCCCCCUCUUUUUUUUUUUUAAUUCUACACUGAUGCUCAGACACUUCUGUCCAGAGACCUGUGGAGGCUGAGCUCUUAAUGUCACCCCCUUUUUCAGUCCUAUCCUGAACUUACAUUAGUCCUGGUUAUCUCUGAGUUUCAUCAUUGUUAAAGAAACUUUGGAAGCAGAGGUGGUCUUCCAAUUUCAGAAAGCUAUUUAGACAUUAAAAUACAAGCUUUGAACUGCAGGUGGAUUUCUUGUUUGAAGCUUUGAACUGCAGGUGGAUUUCUUGUUUGAGUUGGCAUGCUCUUGAGACAAUGUGAUAGCCAGGUUUUGGAAGUAUUAGUGUAUUCUAAAAGGGAACCAAAUCCAAAUCAAAGAUGAAUUUAAAAGAAGAAGGAGAAGGAGAAGGAGAAGGAGAAGAGAAGAAGAGAAGAAGAAAGAAGAAGAGGAGAAGGAGGGGAAAGUUUUAGGUCUUCCACAACUCUGUAUGACAUCCUCUUGGUGAGUGAUAUGUAAAAGAACCAGAAAUACUAAAGCCCAUUUUUGAGACUGAAAACAUUGUAUUCUAAGUAAGGGGUGUGUCUGGGGCAGAUGGGGAUGCCAUCACAACGGAGCCCCUCUAUUCCUCACUUCAAGGAUUAUUAAAAUUCCUGGCUGUGGAAAUGGAGAGCACAAAUGAGUGAGGCCAAAGCUCCAGAAGGUGGUAUCUGUGGAGAAAGGGAGGUGAUGGUUUUCAAAGAGUAAAAGAUGACUGGAAUCUUUCUGGGACUUGAGACACAUAUUUCACAUGAUAGGAGAAAAGAAGGAAAUAAUCAAAUAUUUCAGAGCAGGAAAAAGAAAGUGAUCUAUUAGUGGUGACCCCAAAUGACCUCCUGGGAAGAUUCUAUUAUCAGGUGCCCACGGUCACAGAUGGGCCUUGACAGAGCAAUAGAGUGAUGGGGUGGGGGCUUUGAUGCUUCUUGCCCCAACUGGUCUUCAAUAAUUAAAUCAUGCAUGCAUUCAUUCUUUCAUUCAAUACACACACACUUACUGAGUGCCUACUCUUAGGAUGUGAUAGCAUUUUAAGGGGGCUAUAAUACCCCCUUUACCAUCUGAGGUCAGACCAAGAGAGAGAUGCAGGAGUCAAACAAAUGGAGAUGAAAAUACAUCUUUAUUGCUGCUAGUGAACAAGGAGGACGAGUGGGUUUCCUAAUACUAAGCCCCAGAAUUAAAUAGUCAUACCCAGCCAGACACAGAGAGUAUAGGAUACCAGAAGCCUCUCCACACAGGGGAAUUACCUGAUCCUGUAAGCCUCAGGGCAGAGAAGAGCAGAGUGAAAUGCCCACUCUGUGCAGACAGGCAGAUUACAAAGAGAAAGAGGGAAUGGCUCUGAUGGGCACGCCUCCUUCCUCCCCCCUGGGCAGGUGUGUUGAUAGAGGCGCUGGAGAAAAGUCAGGAGUGUUACUCCAACAUAGCUCUCUUUAAGGCAGUCUCUUAAGUGGUAGAUUGGGGUCAAGGACCCUUCCUCUAGACUGGAAGACAUACACAUAUAGAUUCCUGCCGGACAGGAACUGGAUAUAGUCCAGUAUGGCAACUAGAGCAAUAAAUAAGCAAUAAUAAUGUAUGUGACCAAUUUUCUUUUCCAGCAGGUGGGGCAUGUUGGACAACUUAGAAAGUAGUUGGCCCAUGGGGCGCCUGGGGGGCUCAGUCAGUUGAGCACCUGACUCUUGAUUUCAGCUCAGGUCAUGAUCUCAGGGUCAUGAGGUGAGAUUGAACCC